GCCCAGGUGGCGGAAUUGGUAGACGCACCACCUUGAGGGGGUGGCGGGCUCCGGCCUGUGGAAGUUCGAAUCUUCUCCUGGGCACCA
Molecule: transfer RNA, 87 nt
Filed under: Candidatus Peregrinibacteria bacterium CG11_big_fil_rev_8_21_14_0_20_46_8
Lineage: Bacteria; Candidatus Peregrinibacteriota
Description: tRNA-Leu
Rfam family: tRNA
About the family: Transfer RNA (tRNA) molecules are approximately 80 nucleotides in length. Their secondary structure includes four short double-helical elements and three loops (D, anti-codon, and T loops). Further hydrogen bonds mediate the characteristic L-shaped molecular structure. tRNAs have two regions of fundamental functional importance: the anti-codon, which is responsible for specific mRNA codon recognition, and the 3' end, to which the tRNAs corresponding amino acid is attached (by aminoacyl-tRNA synthetases). tRNAs cope with the degeneracy of the genetic code in two manners: having more than one tRNA (with a specific anti-codon) for a particular amino acid; and 'wobble' base-pairing, i.e. permitting non-standard base-pairing at the 3rd anti-codon position.
Source: RNAcentral